This 21-nucleotide non-coding RNA is filed under the name Arabidopsis thaliana (thale cress). The record is from RNAcentral. Lineage: Eukaryota; Viridiplantae; Streptophyta; Magnoliopsida; Brassicales; Brassicaceae.
CAAACUACACUCCAAAGCCUG